RNAcentral lists this long non-coding RNA (1269 nucleotides) under Homo sapiens (human). Its description in RNAcentral is "non-protein coding lnc-POP5-1:5". Lineage: Eukaryota; Metazoa; Chordata; Mammalia; Primates; Hominidae. The record is from RNAcentral.
GGCGAAGGGGACGCUGCAACGCGGAGCGGGAGCACGAGGAGGGAAGGGGCUUGGCAAUGGGCCCCAAAGAGGCCGAGACCCCGGGAGUGCCGGCAGCGCUCUUUAUCACGCCUGGAGGCUCCUGCAGAGCCCCGGAACCGCCCGAACCUCCAGAAAUGCAGGCAGGGUGCACUCCCCAGGGGGUACAACUUUGGCAAUGAGGACUACAGAGGUCCGGGGAGAACCGGAGACCCGAGGAGCAUGAAGGCACUCUGUGACAUCACUGCCUACAAACGCAGGGGCCGGAAUGCAGUGACAGGACACUGCUGGGAGGAAAGUCUCCCAGCGCCUCCGUGUGGGGCUGCCUCCACUCCCAAUACCGUGCGGGGGGACUAGGACGACCCUGCAUUUCCAAUUAAUCUUGGAAUGAGAGCCGAGGGCAAGAAGCCAGCGGUGCCUGAGGGAUGCUAAAGAGCCAACCGAUCCAGGGAAACAAAUGCCAGCGAGGGACCCCACAGCAAAGAGACAGACACUGUGAGCAACUCUCCUGUUACCAUGAGGCUUGCGAGGCGUGUGUGCGGGUCUCCGCAUUGGCACCAUCUGCCAAUUCCUCAGGAGGACAGAACAAACCAGUGAGGCAUGAAGAUUAGAUUAUGUAACGCUCGAGGAUUGCUGUUUUCAAAGAGGAAACAAAUGGAAUGAAUUGAUUUGCUUGUCAAAGUCAUGUCACUAAAGGAGAUCUAUUCCCUCCCCUUCUAAGAGGACCUCAUUAAAGAGUGGAAUGAUUUCACAGAUUCAGAAAAUGUGAGACCACAAUCCACUCCAUUCAUAAGAGCAAGUCCACUUUCCAGAGUCACACUCACACAUUCUAUUCUGGUCCCCGGGCCUGAAAAAAUGUCCAUCCAGCUACAACCUAAAGGGUACUGACCUGGUGAGGAACAUAAUUGUCAGCUGCUAGCCAUAAGAUUCAGAGCCGGAGGCCAGGCGUCAUGGCUUAUGCUGGUAAUCCCAGCACUUUGGGAGGCCGAGGUGGGUGGAUCAUGUGAGGUCGGAAGUUCAAGACAGCCUGGCCAACACGGUGAAACCUCGUCUCUACUAAAAAUACAAAAAUUACCUGGGCGUGGUGGCACACACCUGUAACCCCAGCUACUUGGGAGGCCAACGCCUGAGAAUCACUUGAGCCCAAGAGGCAGAGGUUGCAGUGAGCCAAGAUCACACCACCGCACUCCAGCCUGGGGGACAGAGUGAGACGCUGUCUCAAAAAAAUAAAAAUAAAAAAUCAGAACCUGU